Molecule: ribosomal RNA, 513 nt
Filed under: uncultured bacterium
Lineage: Bacteria
Description: partial 16S ribosomal RNA
Rfam family: Bacterial small subunit ribosomal RNA
Source: RNAcentral
GACGAACGCUGGCGGCAUGCCUAAUACAUGCAAGUCGAGCGAACAGAUGAAGUGCUUGCACUUCUGACGUUAGCGGCGAACGGGUGAGUAACACGUAAGGAAUCUACCUAUAAGCGGGGGAUAACAUUCGGAAACGGGUGCUAAUACCGCAUAAUAUCUUCUUCCGCAUGGAAGAAGAUUGAAAGACGGCUCUGCUGUCACUUAUAGAUGACCUUGCGGUGCAUUAGUUAGUUGGUGGGGUAAUAGCCUACCAAGACGAUGAUGCAUAGCCGACCUGAGAGGGUGAUCGGCCACAUUGGGACUGAGACACGGCCCAAACUCCUACGGGAGGCAGCAGUAGGGAAUCUUCCGCAAUGGGCGAAAGCCUGACGGAGCAAUGCCGCGUGAGUGAAGAAGGCCUUCGGGUCGUAAAACUCUGUUAUAAGAGAAGAACAAAUUGUAGAGUAAUUGCUACAGUCUUGACGGUAUCUUAUCAGAAAGCCACGGCUAACUACGUGCCAGCCGUCGCAGUAA